UACGGGGGGGGCAAGCGUUGUUCGGAAUUACUGGGCGUAAAGGGUUCGUAGGUGGCCUGCUAAGUCAGACGUGAAAUCCCUCAGCUUAACUGGGGAACUGCGUCUGAGACUGGUGGGCUUGAGUGCAGGAGAGGAACGCGGAAUUCCAGGUGUAGCGGUGAAAUGCGUAGAUAUCAGGAGGAACACCGAUGGCGAAGGCAGGUCACUGGGCCGCGACUGACGCUGAGGAGCGAAAGCAUGGGGAGCGAACAGG
Molecule: ribosomal RNA, 253 nt
Filed under: uncultured bacterium
Lineage: Bacteria
Description: partial 16S ribosomal RNA
Rfam family: Bacterial small subunit ribosomal RNA
Source: RNAcentral